This 600-nucleotide unclassified non-coding RNA is filed under the name Athalia rosae (coleseed sawfly). RNAcentral's name for it is "misc RNA ENSAEAG00005002735.1". Lineage: Eukaryota; Metazoa; Arthropoda; Insecta; Hymenoptera; Athaliidae. The record is from RNAcentral.
CAGGCUCUUGCAUAUCUUGUCCCACAUAAACACAGCGGUAUCGGACCAUAGUCAGACUGCGAUUGCACAUGCGAUAUCCUACCUGAGGUGGAAGUCGCCCACGAGCAUGACCUUGGAUGGGCUGAGGCCGUCUACCCGGAGGCAUAGAUCCAUAGUUUGGACCCCAUUGUCCAACAACCACGCCUGCUACUUCUAAUUGUCCUCCUCGAGAUGGAACUGGACGUCGCAUUAAUCCACGAUGGGCUAGAUUUCCACUUCCACGACCUCGGACAAGACCUUCGUUGAUUGAGCAUCCCGCAGGAACAACUGAUAGCGGAGGACGAGCGAAGACAACAUUGACCCCUUCUAAGACAGCUUUCCGCAUUCUUUCGACUUUUAUAACUCGCUCUAUGUGCCCUCCACAAAGUUCCAAAAGAUUCUUUGCAAUCGUGGCACGGGCGAGUGUGUGAUGAAAUAGUUUACCGUCAAAGAAUAGCCAGGGGCAGCACAUUAACCAAGGUAUGGGAGCUCCGCAGGCGUCAUUUGCCAGUAACGCGGUUUCUACACCAGCCAUAAAUAAUGUCGCCAAUUGAACACCACGUGAUGUUACGAGAGGGAGCU